AGGAUUAUAGUUUAUAAUUAAAACAUUUGAUUUGCAAUCAAAAAAUAUUGAGAUCAAUUUAUCUUA
RNAcentral lists this transfer RNA (66 nucleotides) under Hypolimnas bolina (common eggfly). Its description in RNAcentral is "tRNA-Ala". It matches the Rfam family "tRNA". Rfam says of the family: Transfer RNA (tRNA) molecules are approximately 80 nucleotides in length. Their secondary structure includes four short double-helical elements and three loops (D, anti-codon, and T loops). The record is from RNAcentral. Lineage: Eukaryota; Metazoa; Arthropoda; Insecta; Lepidoptera; Nymphalidae.